CGUCAGCUCGUGUCGUGAGAUGUUGGGUUAAGUCCCGCAACGAGCGCAACCCCUGCCCUCUGUUGCUACCGGGUCAUGCCGGGCACUCUGAGGGGACUGCCUCGGUUAACGGGGAGGAAGGUGGGGAUGACGUCAAGUCCUCAUGGCCUUUAUGCCUAGGGCUACACACGUGCUACAAUGGUCAGGACAAAGGGUUGCUACUUCGCAAGGAGACGCCAAUCCCAAAAACCUGGCCCCAGUUCGGAUGGUCGGCUGCAACUCGCCGGCUUGAAGCUGGAAUCGCUAGUAAUCGGAGAUCAGCACGCUCCGGUGAAUACGUUCCCGGGCCUUGUACACACCGCCCGUCACACCACGAAAGCUGCGUGUACCCGAAGUCGCUGAGCUAACCCGCAAGGGAGGCAGGUGCCGAAGGUAUGCGGGGUGAUUGGGGUGAAGUCGUAACAAGGUAGCCGUAGGGGAACCUGCGGCUGGAUCACCUCCUUUCUAACAGGUUGUUGAAGUGGCGCCGAGCGUCACUGACAAACCCAUUUUCCUCACUGCGCAGACGUCUCUCUAGCGCUGUCAAUUCGCUCUUUGACAUGAUGGCAAACGACUGAGACCCAGUCCGUUCCUUAAUAGAUGGGUCAAGUAACGAAGAGCAUACGGUGGAUACCUAGGCACACAGAGA
RNAcentral lists this small RNA (667 nucleotides) under uncultured bacterium. RNAcentral's name for it is "bacterial LSU rRNA". The stretch from base 1 to 483 matches the Rfam family "Bacterial small subunit ribosomal RNA", at positions 1053 to 1533 of the family's 1533-position model. The record is from RNAcentral.